AAAAAUUCUAAGAAAAGAAGAGUACUUUAUUUGAUGUCUUAAGCGAGUAGGAGCUAUGGUGGAAGUCCUAUAGAAUAGAAUAAAGGAAGAGAGCCUUUGAGAAAUCAUUUGGUAAAGUUAUAUUAAAUGAUCGCAGAUAAACAUGCGUUAAAUGUUGAGUGGUAUUUUACGUAAGGUAAAAUACAAUGAGAGUGGUACCGCGAUUUAAUCGUCUCUUUG
Molecule: non-coding RNA, 219 nt
Filed under: Clostridium neonatale
Lineage: Bacteria; Bacillati; Bacillota; Clostridia; Eubacteriales; Clostridiaceae
Description: T-box
Rfam family: T-box leader
About the family: Uncharged tRNA acts as the effector for transcription antitermination of genes in the T-box leader family. T-boxes are found upstream of many aminoacyl-tRNA synthetase genes and some amino acid biosynthetic genes usually in Gram-positive bacteria.
Source: RNAcentral